CUCCGUUCCAAAAUAAGUGCAGCCAUAGUUUUUCGCGCCCAACUUUAACCGUUCAUCUUAUUUAAAAAAAAUUUGAAAAAAUUUUAAAACAUAAGUCAUGAGUAAAGUACUAUUCAUAUUUUAUCAUUUCAUAACAACAAAAAUGCUAAUUAUGAAAAAAUUUCAAAUAAGAUAGAUGAUCAAAGAUAGGCGUGAAAACUCAUGGCUGCACUUAUUUUGGGACGGAGGUA
Molecule: microRNA precursor, 230 nt
Filed under: Oryza sativa (Asian cultivated rice)
Lineage: Eukaryota; Viridiplantae; Streptophyta; Magnoliopsida; Poales; Poaceae
Description: partial microRNA MIR433a-19 precursor
Rfam family: MIR812 microRNA precursor family (bases 12-216)
Source: RNAcentral